GGCGGCGGCCUAAACACUGCAAGCUCGAGCGGUAACAGGGGUAGCUCGCUACCCGCYGACGAGCGGCGGACGGGUGAGUAACGCAUAGGAAUCUUACCCGGUAGUGGGGGAUAACCUGGGGAAACCCAGGCUAAUACCGCAUACGUCCUACGGGAGAAAGGGGGCUUUGGCUCCCGCUAUCGGAUGAGCCUAUGCCGGAUUAGCUGGUUGGUGAGGUAAUGGCUCACCAAGGCGACGAUCCGUAGCUGGUCUGAGAGGAUGAUCAGCCACAUCGGGACUGAGACACGGCCCGAACUCCUACGGGAGGCAGCAGUGGGGAAUAUUGGACAAUGGGGGCAACCCUGAUCCAGCCAUGCCGCGUGUGUGAAGAAGGCCCUCGGGUUGUAAAGCACUUUCAGCGAGGAAGAACGCCURUCGGUUAAUACCCGGUAGGAAAGACAUCACUCGCAGAAGAAGCACCGGCUAACUCCGUGCCAGCAGCCGCGGUAAUACGGAGGGUGCAAGCGUUAAUCGGAAUUACUGGGCGUAAAGCGCGCGUAGGUGGCUUGAUAAGCCGGUUGUGAAAGCCCCGGGCUCAACCUGGGAACGGCAUCCGGAACUAUCAGGCUAGAGUGC
This 615-nucleotide ribosomal RNA is filed under the name Halomonas sp. RNAcentral describes it as "bacterial SSU rRNA". It matches the Rfam family "Bacterial small subunit ribosomal RNA", at positions 38 to 649 of the family's 1533-position model. Lineage: Bacteria; Pseudomonadati; Pseudomonadota; Gammaproteobacteria; Oceanospirillales; Halomonadaceae. The record is from RNAcentral.